AACGAACGCUGGCGGCAGGCUUAACACAUGCAAGUCGAGCGCCCCGCAAGGGGAGCGGCAGACGGGUGAGUAACGCGUGGGAAUCUACCCAUCUCUACGGAAUAACUCAGGGAAACUUGUGCUAAUACCGUAUACGCCCCUUGGGGGAAAGAUUUAUCGGAGAUGGAUGAGCCCGCGUUGGAUUAGCUAGUUGGUGGGGU
RNAcentral lists this ribosomal RNA (200 nucleotides) under uncultured bacterium. RNAcentral's name for it is "partial 16S ribosomal RNA". It matches the Rfam family "Bacterial small subunit ribosomal RNA", at positions 29 to 258 of the family's 1533-position model. The record is from RNAcentral.